CCUACGGGAGGCAGCAGUGAGGAAUAUUGGUCAAUGGACGAGAGUCUGAACCAGCCAAGGAGCGUGAAGGAUGACUGCCCUAUGGGUUGUAAACUUCUUUUAUAUGGGAAUAAAAUGUUCCCCGUGUGGUAUUUUGUAUGUACCAUAUGAAUAAGGAUCGGCUAACUCCGUGCACGCCGCCGCGGUAAUACGGAGGAUCCGCGCGUUAUCCUGAUUUAUUGGGUUUAAAGGGAGCGUAGGUGGAUUGUUAAGUCAGUUGUGAAAGUUUGCGGCUCAACCGUAAAAUGGCAGUUGAAACUGGCAGUCUUGAGUACAGUAGAGGUGGGCGGAAGUCGUGGUGUAGCGGUGAAAUGCUUAGAUAUCACGAAGAACUCCGAUUGCGAAGGAAGUUCACUGGACUGCAACUGACACUGAGGCUCGAAAGUGUGGGUAUCAAACAGGAUUAGAUACCCGAGUAGUC
Molecule: ribosomal RNA, 460 nt
Filed under: uncultured bacterium
Lineage: Bacteria
Description: partial 16S ribosomal RNA
Rfam family: Bacterial small subunit ribosomal RNA
Source: RNAcentral